AAUCUUCCACAAUGGGCGAAAGCCUGAUGGAGCAACGCCGCGCGAGUGAAGAAGGUUUNCGGAUCNUNAAACUCUGUUGUAAGGGNCGAACAAGUACCGUAGUAACUGGCUGUGCCUUUACGGUACCUUCUUAGAAAGCCACGGCUCACUACGUGCCAGCAGCCGCGGUAAUACGUACGUGGCAAGCGUUGUCCGGAAUUAUUGGGCGUAAAGAGGGCGCAGGCGGUCCUUUAAGUCGGAUGAGAAAGCCCAAGGGUGAACAGUGGAGGGUCAUUGGCAACUGGGGGACUUGAGGGCAGAAGAGGAAAGUGGAAUUACAAGUGUAGCGGUGAAAUGCGUAGAGAUUUGGAGGAACAACAGUGGCGAAGGAGACUUUCUGGUCUGUAACUGACGCUGAGGCGCGAAAGCGUGGGGAGCAAACA
This 422-nucleotide ribosomal RNA is filed under the name uncultured bacterium. Its description in RNAcentral is "partial 16S ribosomal RNA". It matches the Rfam family "Bacterial small subunit ribosomal RNA", at positions 360 to 774 of the family's 1533-position model. The record is from RNAcentral.